CUUCAGAGCCGUGGGUGAGGCUCAGAAGGCUACAGCAGCCCCAUUGCAACCAAAUAUUAUCUCCUGAAUGUUCAGGAAACACCAGUAGUAAAAAGAAUAAUAAACUAAAGAAGUGUACAAGUAGUUGGAGUGACAUAUUUUGGGCUCUACCCAGUUCUUGAGUGGUGUUGUGUGAGACUUUUUGCCUCCAAGAUAUUCCUAUUGGUUUGGGAUGUGGGAGUUCUGUGCUCUUCUGGAGAGUAAGCUGGAAACCAGGAGGGGAUAUCAAGUGGCUCUAAAAGGUUGUGUUUAUACAACAGAAUGGAAUAUAAUUCUCAAGAUUAGCUGAGGGCAUUUGUAGGUGAGAAGCUACUAAGUAAUGGCCCUGACCUGUGAGUGUCACCUUCUUUCCUACCCUGCUUGAAGACAACUGGAAAUUAAAAUUACUGCUGAGAAUAGUUCUGUGAAUAUUUGUGAAAUUCUACUUUUGACAUGAAGUAUCAGCACACACCGACUGGAGCUCUCCCCUUCAGGGACUUCUGACACUCCCAGAUGAAGUACAAGGAAAGGACUUCACACACCUGAAGUACAAGAAAAGGACCUUUUCCUACAUUUUAGAAUCAAGAAAUAGCUUUAAGAAGGUGCACGGAUACUCCUCUCAAGAAUUGUUUUCUAUAAUGUUGUUGAUAUUUGUGGAAGCUGCUAAAGAUGGAAAAGUGCAUCUGGUCACUUGGGAAGGCACAACACUGCACAACUGUUCCUCCUACAGCGGCUGGGGCGCUGCCCCAGGAUGCAGUUUCAAAGCUGGCGUUGGAUAAGUGGUCCUGCAGGGAGGUGGUGGGUUUGCUCAGGCAGGUCACACAGCUCACAAAUAUCUGUGCAGAUGCACACAUAUGAGCUUUCCAAGACAUGCAAAUCUCUGCCAUUCUUCUGCGGUAUCACCACUGCCAGACAAGUCAACUGCAAUGCAAAGCCAAGGAGCAGGACUCAGGAAACCCCCCUGCUUUCAUGUUUGGUGAGAAUUUCAAAGUUUGUCUCUUGUAGUGUUAUUUUUUCCUGCUGAUAGUAGGAAGAGGAGCAAAUGCUGCGCGAUAUUGUGUUCUCGAAUCCUUGGCAGGGAUUUUGGGACCACAUCUCUUCUCUGCUUCUUAAAGGCUUUCCCUGGGAGAAGUUGUGGGACGCAGUGGAAUUUCUUUCUUCUUUGUAUCUGUGUUGGCUAAAGCAGGACAGAGGAGCUUGAAAAGGCUCGCCCUCCUCAAGGAACGCUAUCUGAUUCGUAAGCAUUCCUAGAGGUUAAGGCUGGUGACUAUCAAGAAAGCAAAUACUUCACGCAAGGGUAAGUCCUCUAAUUGUGUUUGUGUUGAAUAACUGCCAGAUCCCCAUGUCAGGAUGUCUGCAGUCACGGCUCUGAUCUCACCAUUCCUUCCUCGGCUGUUGCACAAUUGUGUUGCAUGUUUGUGGUAUGGGAGAAAGUUGGAGAGCUGGGCUAUGAAACCAUCUCAGGGAAGGAAGCCAUGUUUUAUUUUAGUUGCUUGGUUUGGAUAAAAGCCUGUAGGAGAUGGAAUAACAUAAAAAAAUCCCCAUAAUGCGGCCCAUUCAUGGAAAAUAAACCUGGUUUUCUCUACAGAUAUGUGAAAUAUGAUGUUUGAUAGCCAGGUUGGGAAAGGAAAUGUCAAUAAAAAUGUGUUUGCUAGUGUAGUGGAAGUCCUCACGUACAUAUGUGUGAAGUUAUUACUUGUUCUACCUGGACUCUCACCUGUGAUUGCAAGGUCUGUUGGGUCAGGCUUGUAAAUCCAAUAAGGGAACUUUUGAAAAACUGGUUAUGAAUCUGCUCCUCUGAUGGAUCACUUCAAGGAUCUGUUGUGGCAGGGAAGUAAGACAAAGCAGUGACAAAUAACAGGUUACAAGAGAGGAAAGAAACCCAAAGAUACUGCAAUGAGCUUAGCAGGGGAGAGGGAAGGCAAGAACAUCAUAAUUCCGUCCAGCCACAGCAGAAGAUCAGAACAAGCAAGGAUUGAAAGCCACUCAGGUUACACAAAUAUUCAAUCCUGAAAGAAGACAGCAGUUGCCUUAGCCACAGAAAUGUUGAUUAAAAGUAAUAUCCUGAUCGGUCUCAGUACCAUAAAUCUCUCCUAGAUGAUAAAGCUGUACAUUAUCCCUGUUUGCUUAGAACAAAGCAAAUGUCACAGAGGUCUAAUUUUAAUACAGAAAAAUAGUAAUAGCUUGAGUUAAUCUAUGACCAUCAUGUUGUCUCACAUAAUAAAAUCUGGUGAGCUGGUAGCAGUGCUCCAGGAGGAUGUCAGUUCCACUUCCUAAACCAGGAAGGGGAGAAUUAUCCAGAGCAAUAAAGAGCUUGUACAAAUAAUACAAGGGAAAUCAGAAGUUAAUCUGAAUACCAACUCACUCAAUCUAAUCAGUACGAACAGCUCUCUGCCAACUGCUCCAUUACCUGAAACAGGGGUCAAUUGAUAAACAUCAGCCAGUCCUCUCAUUAAAAAAACACAGCUAACAACCCCCCUUCAUCUCCAGAUCUCAAAUUCCAUCGUUCCUGAUAAGCACUAACCAGUUCCUCAUCUCUCAUUUGCAGUUCAUAUCCUGAGCUACACAGAUUUGCUGUUAGAGAUAAGGAUAUGAGAAAGCAAAGCCAUAUUAAUACACAUGUUGCAACCUGUGAGCCUCUCCGGGGCUGCAGUGCCUGGCGCUGGAAAUAGGGGUGGUCAGUGAGUCUGCACUGGGAUUUGUGAUCUGGCCACACCCUGGUUGUUUGGCAACCUCAGCCCUGAUGAACACAGUCAAGGAAAGCACUGUGAGCCACCUGGGUGGGGAAACAGAUGACUGGCAAAAGAGGGAGCAAGUGAGGAAGAAUGGGAGCGAGAAUGACCUGCUGUGUGUCUGGGAGCUGAAAGGGGGAAGAAGGACAGGGAGCUUUAAUCCCAAAUUUAUGAAAGAUGUCACCCAGCUGCCAUCACACCAUGCAAACUGCUUUUGGAUUCUCAUCCCACACUCACCACUGUUAGAUAUUUGUCAGAGCUAAAAGCAAACCAACAUUUUCUGCCUUUGCCUUUCAGUAUGGGUGGAGUUUCAGUGUCCUAAAAACCAGGUAACACCAAUCAGUGUUGGCAUUCAGAUGGCAGCCAGUAAAAGGUGGUUCCUGAAUCAGUGUUCUGGGGUUUGAGUCAAACAUUCCACUUCAGCCAUUUAUCCGCUGUUUUUCUAAAUUUUUGGAAAGGUACAGAACUUGUCUUGUUUUUGCUUUUCUUGGUAGCUGAGGGAAAUAAGGGUUGAGUCAGCUGCACCACAAUGCAGAAUUCUUCUUUACAACAGGUUAGAGGCUUCCCAGAGAAAAUCGCUCUUUUCCGUUCUGCAGACUUUGGUUCUUCAUGUGUUUUAGAUUUGCAGAUAAACUAGUCAAAACUAAUCAAAAGCAAAACAGAACACAACCAAUAUAAAAUCCCCCAACAGACUUUUUAAAGGUCACUGACUCAACUAUAUUUAGUUUUAAUAUUUUUUUAAUUUCAGAGUGUGGGAAAUAAGCAGGGGUUAUUUCCUCCAGCAAACCAGGGUUUUCUUAGCCUCUUUUUUUGACUUCAGAUUUAGCUGAAGUCAAAUAUUAUGACCUGUAAUAAUCUGAGAACAAUAUGUCGUGUUUACACUCAAAUUGCUAUUCACUGUCACUUUACUUGCUAAAGGAAAAAAUAAAGCCUUUUUCAGCGAGCCACCAGUAAAUUAAAUUUAAAUCAGUGCUAUGAUUAAGGUCUUGGGGAGAAGCUGCCUGUAGCAGCUUAUAUAUGCUCAUAUUUGUGGAAAGUCUACCCUCAAAUCAGAAAUAAGUCAAAAUUAUUUCAGUGAUAUGUUUUCCUUUUGAAAAAAUUUCACUUUUGUCAAAGUGAUUAAUAUAGAGAAGCCUAUAAAAUGGAUUUAUUUAGAUCAUUAUUUGUGGAAAAUAGAUGUACUCUUUCACAUUAUGUUUCUCUGUGAGUUAUCCCCCAUUUGUCUUUCCAAGGACAUGUACUCCCUUCCACUAUUUACUUUUAAUUUCAAAGGAGAAAAAUAAUGGAAUGAGAGGUUUUGGAUUAUUAUUUAAUUUGAAAUGCCUAAACAAUAAUGAAAUAAAAUAUCCUAUGCAUCCUUUAAAAGCCAGACACUUGCUAUUGAAGGAGAAAUAAUUCCCCCCCAGGCCCUGUUCCACCCCAAAAAAGAAGAGAAAGAAAAAGAGAACAGGUGCAGUUAAUGGGCCAGACUAAAGUAUCAUGGGAGAUUUUUAAAGCCACAGAUGAAUUUAGCUGCACCACUUCCGAGGAAAAUAAAUGAGUGCUGUUUACUUGGGUUUUCUGCAGUUUAAAAUUAUCCUCUCCAAUGUAGGCUUUGGGGGAAAGUCCACUUGAAAUAAUUGUAGACAUUUGGAAUUGACAUGUCAGCACCACCUCAUAUGACAGGGACGAAUGCCACUCAUUCAUACAUGGAUUUUCCACAGACAACCAGAACAGCAGAGAUUAUUGCCAAGCAUUGCCAGUGAAAAGCAGGAACAGCCUUGCCUUAUGAUUCCACUUUCUAUUUUGCUACUUUUUCAAAAUUGUCUCAGUGGGGAACAAAGUCUGGGCAUUUGUCUCAGGCAGGCAACUUUAUGGCUUCUUUUCCUGUGGUUUUAGCUGAACCUUUCCUCCUACCUACAUUCCCUGUUGUAUUUGUUUAUCCUAAAUUGUCCUGGAAAAUGAUGAGUUUAUGAAAAUGUAGCAUGUGUCUUGAUUCUAUGAAAUUAAUAAAUUAUUAAUUAAGAAGUCUUUCAAUCCCACAUACUCAAAAAUAUACAUGCACUUAGACACAUAUGUUGAAUUUAUUAAAAAACAGCUUUAAGGAACUUUGGAAUGAUACAAAAAUUAGACAAAAUGGUACAUUUAAUACACCAUCUGCUUUACUAAUGGGUAGCUUACUCAUCUCUGGGUCUACAUCACACUUUGAUGAUCCAAACACACACCCAAUUAAUUUAAAUGGAUUUUAUCUGUGAUCUUAUUUUAAAAUCUUUGUUCUUUGCAAGGUCUACUAUUUUGUGAAGUCACUGUGGAAACACAGUGAAAACUGUUUAUUGAAGUGCUAAUGGCUUAUCCUAAUUUCCAUAAGGAAGCUUUUUUCCUUCAUGCAUUCUAACUUUAGUUGACCAUCAUGUUGUUUUAUAUUCAGUAUUUAAAAAUUGUUUUUGUAAAGUGGCUGAGUAGUCAAAAAUGCAAAUUAUCUUUCUUGUACCAUUUUUUCCUUAUUUUUAUUUUUCAUGAAAUACCUUUCAUAUUUUCUUCCUUAUGUUGACCCACUGCAGGUAAAUUCAAAGCAAGAACCAUGUUAUUUCUUUUGUUCCAAUGACUCACUUCAGUUAAGAACAAAUUCUUUUGUUUAAGUUGCUCCUUCUAAGAUAAUAUCAUACACUGCAUUCCAACAUAUUUAAUCUUUUAAUUCAAAAUCAUAGAAAAAAAAAGAAUGAUUGAAAAUAACCUAUAGGUAAUGGAGCAAGCUACUGUAGAAUCCUCCUCAGGUCUGGAUUCAUCUGUCUGUUUUUCUACAGAUUGGGGGGAUUUUUUUUUUUUUGUAUUUUUUAAGACAGUUUUCAAUGCUUGAACAAAUCCCUUUUUCUUCCCUUUGGUAAUGUGGUUAACUGUCUGGAAUGUGAGCCACUGGAAAUUCUUCCCCACAGAAGAAUCUCCAUUAAGCUUUCAAACAGAGUUACUUCAUCCCCACAGCUGCAUGGAUAGAAGGCUUUCUAGUGCCUAAAUACUUAGUGUAUAUGUCAUCCUUAAGUUUUUUUUUUUCCCCUGCCAGAGCUUUGGGAGCAGGUGCUAGCCUUUUGCUUCCUUUCUGCUUCCUCUGUGGGGAACAGGCUGGAAAGAGCCAACUAAUUAGAAAAUUCUACAGGGAAAUUAAUUCUGCAAACAGCUGAGGAAUGGCAUUUUAGUAUAAUGCUCACUUUGUCUGUCAGCAGGGCACUGGUUGGCUUCACAAGUGGCAGCUCUCCCAGAUGUUAAACAUGUUGUGAUGAGACCAGAACUGCAUCAUAUGUUGCCCGUUUACUAAAAGUCGUGGUGCUCUGGAGGAGUAAAUACAUUAAAACCAACCUCUGGGACGUGCUGUGUUGUGUCACAAGGCAGCAGCAUGGCUUUUUUUACAUAUUCUUGAAGUGUAGCAAUGAACCAAAUCAUUUUUAGCCAGCUUAGUUCCGAUUGCUGCCUUUGCUUUCAUGUAGGGCUGGGGGCAUGGAGAGGGAGGGGGAGAGGAGCCUCACUAAACCACUCUGUGUGAAGGCCUGCGUUGUCAAAGCCUGCUGUACACUUCAAAAAAUGUGUGCAGCUCUGUGACAUGUCUGAGCAAACCCCUCACUUACCCAGCUGGCUGCUCACGUGCACGUGGGGAGAGUCGGAUCUGCAUCCGCAGGCUUCCUGCUUGCGACAGAAAAAUGCAGGCAGGGUCCUCUAAAGGAGCCUAUUCUGAGAUGUUCAUGGAAACAGCACUUAGUGAAGAUGAUGACAGACUACUCAUGUCCCAGAGACCUCACCAGUACCUGCUUUGGUCACCUUAAGUAUUUCUUACUUGUGGGCCAAACCCCAGCCACUUGCAUUACCUUAUGUGAUGUGCCUGGUUCUCAGCUCGCUUCUUGUGACAGACCUCUGUGACCCUCAAGCCCAGUGCUCUUCCCAGCCACAUUCAUCUGUCCCUUCCACGGCUCCCAAGUUUCUCUCCAGCUAACCCUCAGGAGCAGAACUCUCAUGCACACUGCUCCCAGAUUGACGUGGCAUCCCUUCCAUGAGUUGCCAGGAGGUGGCCCAGGGCUCUGUUUUAGCAUUCAGUCAUGCACAAGUGGCCCUCACACUCCAGAUGUCUGGGAAUUUGCCCUGGAUUUAACAUUGGAAGAGUGACUUCUGAGUUCCCAUUGAGUCAUACAGAACUGUUUUCUUAUCUUUUCGGUCUCAACUUGAUGUUGAAGCUUGGAGUGCUCUAAACACCACUUUGUGGUGGUUCAUUUUUCAGGUGUCUUAUCCUGCCUCAGUGGCUCUUGUAUACUCUUGAGCUCUCUUUUAUACUCUAUCUGUGUCAUAAAUAUUUAAAUGCUUUUCCUUCCUCCGUCUCCCAAGAACAAAUUUGUCUUAUCUAAGAAUAUAAAAAAUAUGCAAUUCCCAUGGAGAUAUGUCAUUUUUCUGCAGGUGAAGACUUUCCAAUGCAUUUUUAUUUGUCUUAUAUUUGACUGACUGUAGCAGGACUAGAUUUUUCUUUCUUUUUUUAAAUUUUAUUUUAAAUUUCCAUUGUCAUGUGCUUCACAAAUGCAGUAUAAUAAUCAUUCCAUAUUCUGUCUCAAUCAAAAAUCUCAUCACUCCUUAUUUUCUUAUCAGUCUGUUCUCUCUGGCAUAAUUACAUUGCUUGAUAUGUUGCACAGUGUUGGCUUCAAGGAUUGUUUUUAGUGGUAAAAUAUCCAUAUCCUAUUACCAGUGCAGUGUUAACGUGUAGAUGUUUUUUGAGUAUUAUUUGCUUAUAAACUUUAUUUAAAUAGAACCUUGAAAUUUUGGCCAUACUCAUGUUGAUGUGUGAUCAUCUUCCAACAUAAAGCACCAACUAAAGGGCUUUGACUUAGAGUCAUUUUCACAGAUGAAGAUCAUGCUUGCAGAAGAAAAUAAUAGCAUUCCAUCUUUGUCUUUAAUAAAAAUCAAGCUAGUUUCUAUAUUUUCUAAAUUUACUUCACCUGUUAACAAUUAAAGUUUUCCUAAUGAGAUUUAAUUGCUUGAGAAACCAUUGAAAUUAAAUCCCAACUAAAUAUUAACAUCUUCCCCUCAUCUAAUUGACAAUUUGAAAACAUGCUUUGCAUUUUUAAUUGCUUUCUAUAGAUGUGUACAUUAAUAAAUUGGAAGGACUAAAAAGCAUCUAUCUCCAAAAGAGAGGUGCAUGGACUUUUGGAUGUGAGCAGCUGGAAUCUAAAGUCUCUUUGCUCUAAUGUCACACAUAGAAGAUUUAUUCUGCAGUCACAUUUUCUGAAUUAAUUGAAUUUUUAAUUUUGUGGUCCUAAAUGCAUCACUGCCUGGCAGUUUUCCAAAGUGCAUUGUGGUAUAAUGAUGCCUGCAUUAUGGAAGUUUGUCAAAUGGUCUGUGCUUAACAUGGGGACCUGUCUGCACUUAAAACAAGAAUCAAAUAAAAUUAUUAAAUAUUAUUAUCGCAUAUUCUUCCCAGAAUUACAUUUUUUAUUAGGGUGUGCUUAAUGAUUGCAGGAAUGUUGGCAGCUGAAAUUUCUAAAGUGGUUGUCAAAUAGGAAAUAAAAUGGAAAAUGGGAAAUUCAUUGCGGGUCAAGAUAGAUUGCCUUUAUAUUCCACCUAGAUAAAAGUUCUUAGUGAUUUAAUUUUCUGUUUAUUGUCAUCCAGAUGUUUAAAGUACUGACCCAGCUGGUGUGGAAAUUUCAUUUUUUCCAACUUAUGAUAAUGAAUUGAAUCAUAAAAAACAAUCAUAAAACAUCUCCAUAUUGCAUCUGUGGAGAUUCACUAGGAUGAUUUACACUAAAUGGAUUUUUACGUGGAAUGGAUUUCUUUUCCAAAGUUCAACGAGAGUCAAGACUACAUCCGUACGUGUUUAGGAGCCAAAAAUUGUAAGUAAAGGAGAAAACACAUCUGUGUGUGGAAGUUCUUGAAUAAUUGCACUGUUUGUUUAAUGAUAUAGCUGAUGUUAUGAGUGCUCCUGGAGAGUACAGCAGAGCUGGAGCAGCAGGGAUAAAGAUGUUUUCCUUCAGGGUAACGUGAAAUGCUUUGUUUUGUCGUAGUGUGUUCAAGAGGACUGCAUUUCCAUUUUGGCUUCAAGAGAUCUCCCCUUUUAAAAAUUGAAAUUCUCUUUCAAAAAAGUAAUGCUGGUUUAAGAAAUUAAAACUUUUAUUUAUUUACCGAUUUACAUUUCAAAGCAAAGUAGUUCACUCACCCAUUUUGGGAACAAAGAUACUGAAGCUGAUUGGAGUUUGAAAAGGGUUUUAGUAAAUCCAAGAUUUCAUUUUUUCAGUCAAUUUUGUAUUCAUCAAGAAAUUUCAUUCAUCUCUAACGAUAAUGUUUUGGUUUGCAAGUUUGUUGGUUUUUUUAAUGUGUGUUUACCACCCAUAUUGCUAGAAUUAAUAAAUAAACACAAAUUGAUUUAUGGCUUGUUUUGCUUGGACAAGUUUACAAAUAGAAAUGUUGUAGAGGAUUUAAUUAAAUUCUUUCUUUCCUCCAAGGAUGCCACUAUCCAAAACAAAUUGAUGAUUUUGUUCAGAAAUUGUGCUCACACUCUGUAGUAUAAUGGAUACUCUUGAGAUAAACUGACAUCUGGGGUAGAUCUUCAUAAGAACAGUUUCCAAAGUUCAGAAAGGAAACUUUUAAACUUUCAAGCUGUCCUUAAGUUUUAAUAUAUGCCUGGCUUGGUAUUGCAUUUCAGUAUUUACAUAAAUUCUGUAUUUUGCAUAACAGAUGCAACUCAGCAGAUUGUAAACCUUUUCUUGAUACAUUUUGGCAGCAGCUGCAGGUCACAUCCCUUGUUGAAUUUCUAGAUUGUUCACCGAGGUCAACAUUCAACGUGCAUUUUUUCUACUACACUUUAAAGAUUUUCCUCUCUCUGCUCUGGAAAUGCAGGUGUUAUUCUUUUCUCUGAAAUCCCACGAAAUUGUUAUUUGUAGGCAUGGCAUUGAGAGGAAGGAGAAAUAAGGAGACAAUGGGAGUGAGUCAAUAUUUUGUUGUAGUGACACUCUGGUGUUAUUCCAGCCAGUCAGUUUUACGCCAUAGCUGCUGACUGCAGUGCUAUCCAUGGCAGAUGCUCAGAAAUGAAAGGCUACAUCUUUUUUUUGCUGCUGGUUAAUGUGAUGUAGCACAGAUGAGAAACCAGGCAGAUAUUUACACCAACUUUGUCCUCUGACCAAAGAAUCUGACAGUUUAAAGCUGUUCCACCUCUCCCAAAGGCCAGGUGUGUGUAGGGUGGGCCUGUGUUCAUCCUAUUUAUAAAUAGUAUCCAGAAACACAGGAACCAAACUGUGCUGAGGAUUCAUCUAAGGAUGUUAUUUAAACACCUGCAUUUGGUGGCCAGAAAACCACUCUGUUAAACUCACCUGAGGGCCUGCUGCCUCCAAAAGAGAAAUGUGUUAGGGUGGCUAAGGGUACCAGCUCACGUCCCUCAUGACUGAAAGAAAAAAAAAUAAUGGCAUAUGAAUAAAAAAACAGAGAUUUCCAGAAAAGACCUUGAUAUUUUGGUCAUAAUGCAAUAAAUAUUUUUUUACACACAAAUUGGAUACAUUAGGCCAGUACUGGCUGCUUCUGGAAUCCCACCCUUAACACCAGCUUUCUGAAGUGCCAACAUGCUUGCCUUCUUUCCAAUGCUGAAAAAAAUUCUCUGAAAUCUCUGCCCCUCAGCCCAAAACAGAAGAAAAGAGGUUAGGUUGUGGUUUUUUAUUUGAUUGUUUGGGAAUUUUUUUGGUAGGUCAUCUAGAGAAAAAAAUCAAGCGGAAAUUAGAUGAACAUAAAAUUAUUUUUGACACAUUUGGCAAAUUGUAGUGUUUUUAAGAAGUCUGUUCAUGAACCCUGUUGUGUAAGCAGCCACUUGCUCAGUUUGAGUAAAAGGAUUUCUUGCCAGAAAGCAGAAAGAAAUCGCCAGCUGGGGAUUCAGCCUUUCCACUCAUAUUUUCUUUGCCUGUGACUCCCAAAGUGUUUGGUGAAAAUGGCAAUGUUGUUGUACUUUUACAACCAAAGCACAGGAGAUGAAAGUGAAGAUAUGAAAACACAAGUGCUUGAAAAGUUACAUUCCUGGAAAAGAGAGACACAGAGGAGCUGACAGAGAAAGCUGAUGCUCAGGAGUACACUAAGAACCUUCAGUGGGUUGGUAUUUAUGGAAAACAAAGCACUUUUUUAGGAGUCUAAAUUACACACUAAGCAACGGCCCCAAACUUUUAUUACAUUCUAGGAAAAGAGCAGGAAAAAGAACAUAAAAUACUCAAAGUUAUCUGUACUAAAUAUUAGACUGGAUAUUAUAUCCUGUCUUUAUGUUGUGGAAAAAACCCGAAUGGUCUGAAUUACUAUCAUUUCUUAAAAACUAAAAACACAAUCUGGGAAGAAGUUUUUAUGCUGGGCUGCUUUUUAGCUGUGUUAUUUCUGAGGAAUUAAAAAGAGCUGAAAAUCUCAUAUUUUGCACUGCAUAAUCAAUGGUUCAAUGACUGACCAAAUACCCAUCAUUCGGUUCCAUUCAUAAGAUUAUGCCAUACACAGUCAGGUGGCAUUUUUCCAGAAGCUGACAUGUCCUUUCAUUGCUAAAAACCUUGGUUUGGAAUGGAAUGGAGUCAAGUACAGGAAGGAAAUGAUUAUGGAAACUGUAAGAAUUUGAGACCUCAGCUAUCUUCAGACACAGCAAAACAUUUCCUCCCGUUAUCGGCAGGUAUGUAAUUACUGCUCAGACAAACAUGCCAAGAAAUAUUUCAAGAAGGUAUUUGGCUUCCAGAAGCUGAUUCUGCCAUCAGAGUGCUUGUCAGACAUAAGCAGAGCAUCACGCUGGCAUAUUUUUUCUUAUAUGAAGAGAAGUAAAAAGUGUAAAUAUUUAGAGCUUGGGCUUUUACUGCCUUUUUCAAAGGAUCCUACUGAAUGUCUUUGCACCCUCAAAAUAUAUAUAUAUUUUUAAAAGAAAGAUAAGCUCCAAAGAAGACUGUUAAAAUAUUUUUUUCAUUUAAAUGGCCAUCACAUUUGCCAUUUUUUCAUUUAAAUAUCCAUCACAAUUUAAAUGGAUAAGAUUGUGGUGGAUACACCUGAUUACAUUAUCACAAUCUAGGAAUUUUGAGAUCAGCUCAGGUGCCAGAAAAAUGCAAGCAACUCACACGUUAAAAUAAUUUUCAAGUACAUCAUGUGAAAGGCAAUUGGAAGCACAGAUGUGAUGCUGAGGCGCAGAAUUUUCCAAGUUAUUUGGAGAAAAAUUUAAGUGUGGAGCUGAUUGUGUUUAACCUUCACACAGUAACAGUGUUUCUUUCAGCUGGAAAUUAUGUAGUCAAGCAUCAAACAUAUGCAUAUCUAAAACAUAUUCUAGACUUUGAGCCACUUCAAAUACAGCCAUUUUCAAAUAAGAUUUUGAAUUUUGUCCUAUAUAACAAGUCAUUCCUGUUCUCUUAAAAUAAUAUAUUGUAUACAAGAAUAUCCAAAUAUCAACAGUAUUCUUUUGCUGGAGUGACAGAACAAACAGAUAUAAGUAAAAAUGUAGAGUAUUUACUGCAUAUAUAAAUGCAGUAAAUACAACAACAUUUCUUCUUUUCUGAAGAAGAAAAGAAAGAAAGAAGAAAAUAUGUUGGGUGUGGAUAAUAGUUAUUUAACUAUGUUUUCAGUGGAACCACCUCUUUCCUGAGUUGUUAUUUGUACCUGCAUCCUCUUAAAUUAAAAUGACCUUCAAGAAUAUUAACUGAGAGCCAUUUUUAAUUAAUUACAAUUUGAUCAGUUAAUGUUGGAGGACAUCAGCUCUAUAUGGAAGUAAUGCAGAGCUAAAUCUCCAGAGAAUUUCUGGCUAGCACCACCCAUCACUUACAGGCACCCUGCCAGCCAGCAGGAGGUUUUUCUCUAAGAUUAGGCACAUCUCUUCCUUAAUAAAUGGAGGGGAAGAGCUAAAUCAGCUCAAAGUAAUGUCACUGGAGAGCCUCAGGCUGAACUCUUCCAGGGAAGACCAGCAAGAUGUCAGCUGUAUCGCAGAGAGUGAGGCAUUUCACUCUAUUUAGGUUUCUCUGCUGUGAAGUAAACAUCUCUUAACUGGCUAAAGGAAAUCUCAGGCCUAUAUUCAGUCACCUGAGUGUGGACCUGAGAAGUGUUGGUAACUGAGAACCUGCCAGGAUUUCUGUAACAAUCCAGUAAAUCAGUGCAAUAAGUAUUCAAACACAGCCACAAAAAUAUGGAGACACAACAUCCAGCCAGAGACCUAUAAAUACAAUAUUUCUUCACGCAUACCAUGCAGUAAACUGUCUCACUAUAUAGGGCAAAAUAAAAUCAAAUACUUCUGCUGUUUCAGGUCUUAUUUUUGUAAGUAAAUCUUCACUUUAUCCAGUUUAAUAUUUUUAAGACAAUGAUCACGGAACCAUGACUUUUCAGCCCUACUGACAAAGCCUGGAAGUCACUGAGUAGGUCAUGCAGAUCUGUGUUUCCCUAAGGGCACAGACUGCUCAGUAAAUCUGUUGUUCUUCUCACUUAUGCAUUGAGCUUUAAAAAGUAAAAAAACACCCAAGAAACCCAACCCCUAGAAACAAGUAGCACUACUGCUCAGAGGAUGCUUGAGGGAGUUAUUCCAACUUGUUCUUUCUCCCACUUACCUUCUAUGGGAGGAAAUAUUUAUGGAGGAAACAAACUGAAAAAGAUCACAAAGAUCCUGCCCCACAGAUUUCCUGGUGUUAUUCUACAGCGGAAGAGGCAAAAAAUUCUUUACUCAAAUUCCUUUCCCCAUGGAGGGAAAAAUAUUGUCUUUUGUCAACAUUUUGUUUUGCUCAUUUGCCACAAUCUUCAAAAUUAUUCUAUGAAGAUACAAUUUUUUAAUCACAAACUGGUGUGUUCAAUAACGAAAAUGAUCCUUUGGGUAUGCAUUUGUAUUGUGCUGAAAUGUAUUGUUUGCUAAGUGACCUUAUCUAUAAUUCAGAGAGUAUUUGUGUGCUUUGGAAGAUCAUUUGGCAAAGUCUGUGAAAGGAAGUAAUUUAGUUUUUUGGCUGCAUUAAGGAUGAAAUUAAUUUAAGAUGAAUUAGAACUUCUAGAGAAGUGAUAUGAAAAGAACCCAACAGCCAAAGUUCUUGGCUUUGGAAGAGGUAAUUAGCCAGUACUGGAAGAGCCUUGAUGAACAUGCAGUUAGAUAUCCAUUAGUGGAUCUAGAGGGGCAAUUUGAGAAGGUAUUCUCAUUCCCUGGUGAAUGCUUGUAGCCUGUUUCAGUGACAAAAUAGAUUAAUUUAAAUUACUGCUUUAAAUUAUUCGGAGGCAGACUUCAUUUCAGUUUGAGUCACUCUCUCCUCCCUCUUGUUGCUCCACAGCCAUAAAAACCUAGAGAUGUUGAAACCAAAGUACCCAAGUGAAGGCAGAGCUCUAUUCUUAGGUUCCAGAAGGUUCAGGUUCCCAGCAUGAGCGUAGAGUCUGGCUGUUGAGAAAACACUGGCUGGUAAGUCUUUGCUAAGUGAAGAUACACUUCACAAGCAUUUGUUUCGAGUCAUUUUUGGAGUGGCGAUGAAUCUGUGCAAUUUUAUUUUCACCUCAACAGGACAUUGGAUGUUGCUAAGGUGUUUAAUGUAUGUAAUGUGAUACUCUGUGAUAAAAAGAAUGCAUUAGUGAACUGAGUGACAAAAAGAGCAUGUCUAAAAAUGAUCCUUAAGUAUAGGCCAAGAUCGUUUGCAUUUAUUUUAAUGAUAUCCAAAUGGUGUUCUAACUAAAGAUA
Molecule: long non-coding RNA, 14376 nt
Organism: Motacilla alba alba
Lineage: Eukaryota; Metazoa; Chordata; Aves; Passeriformes; Motacillidae
Exons: 5
Source: RefSeq, a predicted model, not a curated record